CCUACGGGAGGCUGCAGUCGAGAAUCAUUCACAAUGGGGGAAACCCUGAUGGUGCGACGCCGCGUGGGGGAAUGAAGGUCUUCGGAUUGUAAACCCCUGUCAUGUGGGAGCAAAUUAAAAAGAUAGUACCACAAGAGGAAGAGACGGCUAACUCUGUGCCAGCAGCCGCGGUAAUACAGAGGUCUCAAGCGUUGUUCGGAAUAACUGGGCGUAACGCGUGCGUAGGCUGUUUCGUAAGUCGUGUGUGAAAGGCGCGGGCUCAACCCGCGGACGGCACAUGAUACUGCGAGACUAGAGUAAUGGAGGGGGAACCGGAAUUCUCGGUGUAGCAGUGAAAUGCGUAGAUAUCGAGAGGAACACUCGUGGCGAAGGCGGGUUCCUGGACAUUAACUGAUGCUGAGGCACGAAGGCCAGGGGAGCGAAAGGGAUUAGAUACCCGAGUAGUC
RNAcentral lists this ribosomal RNA (446 nucleotides) under uncultured bacterium. RNAcentral describes it as "partial 16S ribosomal RNA". It matches the Rfam family "Bacterial small subunit ribosomal RNA", at positions 338 to 795 of the family's 1533-position model. The record is from RNAcentral.